Telopea speciosissima is the source of this 308-nucleotide long non-coding RNA. RefSeq lists it as uncharacterized. The record is from RefSeq and is a predicted model, not a curated record. Lineage: Eukaryota; Viridiplantae; Streptophyta; Magnoliopsida; Proteales; Proteaceae. The transcript has 2 exons.
AUCACCGGACUGUGACGCCAUCUCCAUUGCUGAGGUUGAGAUCUUUUGUCACAGGAAGCUCCAAAGGGCUCUUACAUUCACAGAUGCAGAGUUGGAUGAUGAAGUCAUAGCAGAUAUGGAACUUGAUGUUUGUAUGAGUCGGCUAAGGUUUGGAGAGGCUUAUUCUCAAGCACCACCCUCUCUCAAAAUAUAGUAUGUUUAUCUGAUUGGGAGCUAUCUAUAAGAUACAUACGUAGAGUGACCUUAACAUGCUUGAAGAUUCGUUGGGUGAGUUCCUUGAUUUAUGAGACAGGCAAUUGCUUUUUUUU